GGCGGAGGGUGAGUAAUGUCUGGGAAACUGCCUGACCGAGGGGGAUAACUACUGGAAACGGUAGCUAAUACCGCAUAACGUCGCAAGACCAAAGAGGGGGACCUUCGGGCCUCUUGCCAUCGGAUGUGCCCAGAUGGGAUUAGCUUGUUGGUGGGGUAACGGCUCACCUAGGCGACGAUCCCUAGCUGGUCUGAGAGGAUGACCAGCCACACUGGAACUGAGACACGGUCCAGACUCCUACGGGAGGCAGCAGUGGGGAAUAUUGCACAAUGGGCGCAAGCCUGAUGCAGCCAUGCCGCGUGUAUGAAGAAGGCCUUCGGGUUGUAAAGUACUUUCAGCGGGGAGGAAGGGAGUAAAGUUAAUACCUUUGCUCAUUGACGUUACCCGCAGAAGAAGCACCGGCUAACUCCGUGCCAGCAGCCGCGGUAAUACGGAGGGUGCAAGCGUUAAUCGGAAUUACUGGGGCGUAAAAGCGCACGCAGGCGGUUUGUUAAGUCAGAUGUGAAAUCCCCCGGGCUCAACCUGGGAACUGCAUCUGAUACUGGCAAGCUUGAGUCUCGUAGAGGGGGGUAGAAUUCCAGGUGUAGCGGUGAAAUGCGUAGAGAUCUGGAGGAAUACCGGUGGCGAAGGCGGCCCCCUGGACGAAGACUGACGCUCAGGUGCGAAAGCGUGGGGAGCAAACAGGAUUAGAUACCCUGGUAGUCCACGCCGUAAACGAUGUCGACUUGGAGGUUGUGCCCUUGAGGCGUGGCUUCCGGAGCUAACGCGUUAAGUCGACCGCCUGGGGAGUACGGCCGCAAGGUUAAAACUCAAAUGAAUUGACGGGGGCCCGCACAAGCGGUGGAGCAUGUGGUUUAAUUCGAUGCAACGCGAAGAACCUUACCUGGUCUUGACAUCCACGGAASUUUUCAGAGAUGAGAAUGUGCCUUCGGGAACCGUGAGACAGGUGCUGCAUGGCUGUCGUCAGCUCGUGUUGUGAAAUGUUGGGUUAAGUCCCGCAACGAGCGCAACCCUUAUCCUUUGUUGCCAGCGGUCCGGCCGGGAACUCAAAGGAGACUGCCAGUGAUAAACUGGAGGAAGGUGGGGAUGRCGKCAAGUCAUCAUGGCCCUUACGACCAGGGCUACACACGUGCUACAAUGGCGCAUACAAAGAGAARCCGACCUCGCGAGAGCAAGCGGACCUCAUAAAGUGCGUCGUAGUCCGGAUUGGAGUCUGCAACUCGACUCCAUGAAGUCGGAAUCGCUAGUAAUCGUGGAUCA
Molecule: ribosomal RNA, 1260 nt
Filed under: Escherichia coli
Lineage: Bacteria; Pseudomonadati; Pseudomonadota; Gammaproteobacteria; Enterobacterales; Enterobacteriaceae
Description: bacterial SSU rRNA
Rfam family: Bacterial small subunit ribosomal RNA
Source: RNAcentral